UAUGGAGAGUUUGAUCCUGGCUCAGAGUGAACGCUGGCGGCGUGCCUAAUACAUGCAAGUCGAACGGACAAGUAAGAGCUUGCUCUUAUGAGUUAGUGGCGCACGGGUGAGUAAUGUAUAGUUAAUCUGCCCUACACUGGAGGACAACAGUUAGAAAUGACUGCUAAUACUCCAUACUCCUUCUUAACACAAGUUAAGUCGGGAAAGUUUUUUCGGUGUAGGAUGAGACUAUAUUGUAUCAGCUAGUUGGUGAGGUAAUGGCUCACCAAGGCUAUGACGCAUAACUGGUCUGAGAGGAUGAUCAGUCACACUGGAACUGAGACACGGUCCAGACUCCUACGGGAGGCAGCAGUAGGGAAUAUUGCUCAAUGGGGGAAACCCUGAAGCAGCAACGCCGCGUGGAGGAUGACACUUUUCGGAGCGUAAACUCCUUUUGUUAGGGAAGAACAAUGACGGUACCUAACGAAUAAGCACCGGCUAACUCCGUGCCAGCAGCCGCGGUAAUACGGAGGGUGCAAGCGUUACUCGGAAUCACUGGGCGUAAAGGACGCGUAGGCGGAUUAUCAAGUCUUUUGUGAAAUCUAAUGGCUCAACCAUUAAACUGCUUGAGAAACUGAUAAUCUAGAGUGAGGGAGAGGCAGAUGGAAUUGGUGGUGUAGGGGUAAAAUCCGUAGAGAUCACCAGGAAUACCCAUUGCGAAGGCGAUCUGCUGGAACUUAACUGACGCUAAUGCGUGAAAGCGUGGGGAGCAAACAGGAUUAGAUACCCUGGUAGUCCACGCCCUAAACGAUGUAUACUAGUUGUUGCUGUGCUAGUCAUGGCAGUAAUGCACCUAACGGAUUAAGUAUACCGCCUGGGGAGUACGGUCGCAAGAUUAAAACUCAAAGGAAUAGACGGGGACCCGCACAAGCGGUGGAGCAUGUGGUUUAAUUCGAAGAUACGCGAAGAACCUUACCUGGGCUUGAUAUCCUAAGAACCUUGUAGAGAUACGAGGGUGCUAGCUUGCUAGAACUUAGUGACAGGUGCUGCACGGCUGUCGUCAGCUCGUGUCGUGAGAUGUUCGGUUAAGUCCGGCAACGAGCGCAACCCACGUAUUUAGUUGCUAACAGUUCGGCUGAGCACUCUAAAUAUACUGCCUUCGUAAGGAGGAGGAAGGUGUGGACGACGUCAAGUCAUCAUGGCCCUUAUGCCCAGGGCGACACACGUGCUACAAUGGCAUAUACAAUGAGACGCAAUAUCGCGAGAUGGAGCAAAUCUAUAAAAUAUGUCCCAGUUCGGAUUGUUCUCUGCAACUCGAGAGCAUGAAGCCGGAAUCGCUAGUAAUCGUAGAUCAGCCAUGCUACGGUGAAUACGUUCCCGGGUCUUGUACUCACCGCCCGUCACACCAUGGGAGUUGAUUUCACUCGAAGCCGGAAUACUAAACUAGUUACCGUCCACAGUGGAAUCAGCGACUGGGGUGAAGUCGUAACAAGGUAACCGUAGGAGAACCUGCGGUUGGAUCACCUCCUUUCUA
This 1513-nucleotide ribosomal RNA is filed under the name Campylobacter sp. Its description in RNAcentral is "bacterial SSU rRNA". It matches the Rfam family "Bacterial small subunit ribosomal RNA". The record is from RNAcentral. Lineage: Bacteria; Pseudomonadati; Campylobacterota; Epsilonproteobacteria; Campylobacterales; Campylobacteraceae.